AUUGAACGCUGGCGGCAGGCCUAACACAUGCAAGUCGAGCGGAUGAAGGGAGCUUGCUCCUGGAUUCAGCGGCGGACGGGUGAGUAAUGCCUAGGAAUCUGCCUGCUAGUGGGGGAUAACGUCCGGAAACGGGCGCUAAUACCGCAUACGUCCUGAGGGAGAAAGUGGGGGAUCUUCGGACCUCACGCUAUCAGAUGAGCCUAGGUCGGAUUAGCUAGUUGGUUGGGUAAAGGCCUACCAAGGCGACGAUCCGUAACUGGUCUGAGAGGAUGAUCAGUCACACUGGAACUGAGACACGGUCCAGACUCCUACGGGAGGCAGCAGUGGGGAAUAUUGGACAAUGGGCGAAAGCCUGAUCCAGCCAUGCCGCGUGUGUGAAGAAGGUCUUCGGAUUGUAAAGCACUUUAAGUUGGGAGGAAGGGCAGUAAGUUAAUACCUUGCUGUUUUGACGUUACCAACAGAAUAAGCACCGGCUAACUUCGUG
This 484-nucleotide ribosomal RNA is filed under the name uncultured bacterium. Its description in RNAcentral is "partial 16S ribosomal RNA". It matches the Rfam family "Bacterial small subunit ribosomal RNA", at positions 30 to 507 of the family's 1533-position model. The record is from RNAcentral.